Small nucleolar RNA from Raphanus sativus (radish), 108 nucleotides. NCBI's taxonomy places the organism in Eukaryota, Viridiplantae, Streptophyta, Magnoliopsida, Brassicales, Brassicaceae. The record is from RefSeq and is a predicted model, not a curated record.
AAUCCAUGGUGAGAGCAUUCUCUGCUGUAGUCAUUGAAACGCUCCCAUGCGUCAAAAAAAAAGCUCAUCAUGGAACUGUCUGAAUGAGGUGAUCUUGUUCCUCAAUGC